UACGUAGGGUGCGAGCGUUAAUCGGAAUUACUGGGCGUAAAGCGUGCGCAGGCGGUUUUGUAAGCCAGAUGUGAAAUCCCCGGGCUUAACCUGGGAACUGCAUUUGUGACUGCACGGCUGGAGUGCGGCAGAGGGGGAUGGAAUUCCGCGUGUAGCAGUGAAAUGCGUAGAUAUGCGGAGGAAUACCGAUGGCGAAGGCAAUCCCCUGGGCCUGCACUGACGCUCAUGCACGAAAGCGUGGGGAGCAAACAGG
This 253-nucleotide ribosomal RNA is filed under the name uncultured bacterium. RNAcentral's name for it is "partial 16S ribosomal RNA". It matches the Rfam family "Bacterial small subunit ribosomal RNA", at positions 524 to 776 of the family's 1533-position model. The record is from RNAcentral.